GGCCCCGUAGCUCAGUUGGUUAGAGCGCCGCCCUGUCACGGCGGAGGUCACCGGUUCAAGUCGGGCCGGGGUCGCCA
RNAcentral lists this transfer RNA (77 nucleotides) under Bifidobacterium longum. RNAcentral's name for it is "tRNA-Asp". It matches the Rfam family "tRNA". Rfam says of the family: Transfer RNA (tRNA) molecules are approximately 80 nucleotides in length. Their secondary structure includes four short double-helical elements and three loops (D, anti-codon, and T loops). Further hydrogen bonds mediate the characteristic L-shaped molecular structure. tRNAs have two regions of fundamental functional importance: the anti-codon, which is responsible for specific mRNA codon recognition, and the 3' end, to which the tRNAs corresponding amino acid is attached (by aminoacyl-tRNA synthetases). tRNAs cope with the degeneracy of the genetic code in two manners: having more than one tRNA (with a specific anti-codon) for a particular amino acid; and 'wobble' base-pairing, i.e. permitting non-standard base-pairing at the 3rd anti-codon position. Lineage: Bacteria; Bacillati; Actinomycetota; Actinomycetes; Bifidobacteriales; Bifidobacteriaceae. The record is from RNAcentral.